RNAcentral lists this ribosomal RNA (502 nucleotides) under uncultured bacterium. RNAcentral's name for it is "bacterial SSU rRNA". It matches the Rfam family "Bacterial small subunit ribosomal RNA", at positions 8 to 507 of the family's 1533-position model. The record is from RNAcentral.
AGAGUUUGAUCAUGGCUCAGAUUGAACGCUGGCGGAAUGCUUUACACAUGCAAGUCGAACGGCAGCACGGGGGCAACCCUGGUGGCGAGUGGCGAACGGGUGAGUAAUACAUCGGAACGUGCCCAGUCUGGGGGAUAACGUAGCGAAAGCUACGCUAAUACCGCAUACGAUCUCUGGAUGAAAGCGGGGGACCGCAAGGCCUCGCGCGAUUGGAGCGGCCGAUGGCAGAUUAGGUAGUUGGUGGGGUAAAGGCUCACCAAGGCGACGAUCCGUAGCGGGUCUGAGAGGAUGAUCCGCCACACUGGGACUGAGACACGGCCCAGACUCCUACGGGAGGCAGCAGUGGGGAAUUUUGGACAAUGGGCGCAAGCCUGAUCCAGCCAUGCCGCGUGAGUGAAGAAGGCCUUCGGGUUGUAAAGCUCUUUCGGUGGGAAGAAAUUGCUUCGGUUAAUACCUGGAGUAGAUGACGGUACCCGCAUAAGAAGCACCGGCUAACUACGUG